Molecule: ribosomal RNA, 460 nt
Filed under: uncultured bacterium
Lineage: Bacteria
Description: partial 16S ribosomal RNA
Rfam family: Bacterial small subunit ribosomal RNA
Source: RNAcentral
CCUACGGGAGGCAGCAGUGAGGAAUAUUGGUCAAUGGGCGUAAGCCUGAACCAGCCAAGUCUCGUGAGGGAUGAAGGUUCUAUGGAUCGUAAACCUCUUUUAUAAGGGAAUAAAGUGCGGGACGUGUCCCGUUUUGUAUGUACCUUAUGAAUAAGGAUCGGCUAACUCCGUGCCAGCAGCCGCGGUAAUACGGAGGAUCCGAGCGUUAUCCGGAUUUAUUGGGUUUAAAGGGUGCGUAGGCGGCCUUUUAAGUCAGCGGUGAAAGUUUGUGGCUCAACCAUAGAAUUGCAGUUGAAACUGGGAGGCUUGAGUACGUGUGAGGCAGGCGGAAUGCGUGGUGUAGCGGUGAAAUGCUUAGAUAUCACGCAGAACCCCGAUUGCGAAGGCAGCCUGCUAAGCCAUGACUGACGCUGAUGCACGAAAGCGUGGGGAUCAAACAGGAUUAGAUACCCCAGUAGUC